GUCUGUCAUGUCCAGCCUGUGAAGAGCACGCUGGCUGAGCUGGCGAGAGGGGUGGGGGCGUCCUGGGGCUGCUUCUGCUCUGAUGAAGGCACCCACUGUCACUGUCCCGGCCCUCGCUGAGUGUUCCCGGACCCGUGGGCCCGCGUCUGUGCCAGGCCUUGGGGAGCUCCAGCCUCGGAGCCUCUUCCCGUUCUCAGACCUCAGUGCGAGGAGGAAAUCGGCUCCUUGAGUUUUUGCCUCCGGUGUUGUUUGGAAGGACGUGUCUGGAGCUGCUGCAGUAAAGCUGAAGAAGUGGCCGCGUGCAGUCCUAAGCUCCUGUGGCCUCUCGGUUGCCAGCAAGUCCUUUCCUUGGCUGUGGGCCAGUGACUGUUUGCGAGACCGCAGAACGGCGAGCUACAUGUGAUCAGCCGUUGGAGGAGCCUCUUCUCCCCGGCUCGCCAGCCCCACACGCCCACCCUGUCUCAGAGAGACUUAUUUUUCCUUCUUCAAUGUCGUCAGGCUUUGCCUCCUGACUUACCUUGGCCAAUGGAACGUAAGCAGAAGCAGAAGCGCCUCUUCAAGAGAGUGAAACGGUCCUGGAGGGAGCGGCUCCUCCAGCCUGGAUGCUCAACUGUGGCAAGCGCCCGGCUGACCUACAGGAAACGCGGAGCCCGAGUGGAAACACACGUGUGUUGUAAACUGCUGAGACGCCGAGAUUGCUGGGGCCACAGCCCGGCCUGGCAUCAGCUGACUCGAGGAGAAACUGGCACCUAGAAUUCGUUGCUGUCACACACAAAACCUAAAAUUUGUGGCAUUGGCUGGGGUGGGGCAGGGGAGGGGGAGAAACUAUAAUUAGAGGCUGGGAGCAGCAUUUUUAUGUGGUGAAACAUUUGGCAAAACUGUCAUCUAUGUUUUCUCGGGGGCGGAAAACAUAGGAGGCUUUGGGCUGGGCACGGUGACUCACACCUAUAAUCCCAGCACUUGAGGAGGCUGAGGCGGGUGGAUCACCUGAGGCCAGGAGUUCGAGACCAGCCUGGACAACAUUGUGAAACCUCGUCUCUACUAAAAAUACAAAAAUUAGCCAGGCAUGAUGACGGACGCCUGUAAUCCCAGCUACUUGGGAGGCUGAGGCAGGAGAAUCGCGUGAACCUGGGAGGCGGAGGUUGCAGUGAGCCAAGCUUGCACCACGGCACUCCAGCCUGGGCGACAGAGUGAGACUCCGUCUCAAAACAACAACAACCAUCACCACCAAACAGAAAACAGGAGAUUGUGGAUUCAAGCAAAGAGGUUUGGAAACCAAAUGUGACUGGUGUGUCUUGGUUGCUAUUGGAGAUACGGAUGAGAUAAUACAAGAAAGAUGUGCUCAGAUGGAAAUUGUCUGGUUUGCAAACAGCCUUGAAAGAGGCAACUGCUUCUUAGCUCCAACCAGUAAAGGAUAAAUGGGAGACAUGCUUGCUCCACAAAAGCCAGUUAGGCUCAGGCUGGUGGCAAAAGCCAGGUGGAGAGUGUAACCCCCGGGGGUUAUGAUCUCUGAAUAGAUUAAGGUGGCAGCCCAGCACAUUUCUUUCUCUUUCUUUCUUUUCUUUCUUCCUUUCUUUUCCUUUCCUUUCUUUUCCUUCCUUCCCUUCCCCUCCCCUCCCCUCCCCUCCCCUCCCCUUCCCUUCUCCUUCCUUCCUUCCUUCCUUCCUCCCUUCCUUCCUUCCUUCCUUCUUUCUUUCUUUCUUUCUUUGACCAGUUCUCACUCUGUUGCUCAGGCUGGAGUGCAGUGGCACGAACACAGCUCACUGCAGCUUCAAGCUUCUGGGCUCAAGCUAUCCUCCCACCUCAGUCUCCCCAGUAGCUGAGACUACAGGCGUAAUUUUAAAAUUAGCCCAGCUAAUUUUUAAAGUUUUGUAGCGAUGCUGUCUUGGCAUGUUGCCCACACUGGCCUCGAACUCCUGGGCUUAAGAGAUCUGCCUGCCUUUGCCUCCCAAAGUGCUGGGAUUACAGGCAUGGGUCACUGUACCCGACCCCAGCAAAUCUUUUGAGUCAGGUGAAAUUUUGUAAGAAGAGAAAUUGGGGGCAUUGCUCUCCCAAGGAAGCCCCAGAAGUUAAAAGUAGCUGCCGUAAAGUCAAGACAGUGAGACGUAUCUCCUCACCUGCCGUGAACUGCCCAAAACAGAUGUGAAGCCAGCCACGUGCUGAGGGAUCUGCACACCCAGCUUUGCCUUGCAGUGACUGCGAAGGUGCAAGAUUUAAAAAUCACGUCUGAGCCUCCAGCGUUCUGUGGACAGAAAGCAGGAGUGGUGCGGGCUCCCUGAGGACAUAAUUUCCAAUAUCCUCUUCAGAUGUAGCCCAGAGGGUGAUGGAAAAGGAAGAACCUCCCAGAGGCGAGCUCGGUGAUGGGCCAGUAAUGGAUUAGGGGCUCACACCACGGACUGGAGUCAGCAGUCUUAACCACGCGACUCGCCCAGAGUGAGCAGAUGUUAGCAGCAGUGGGCCGGGCUGUGUCCAGCACCAACCUGAAGAGCACCACGUGGUCCUGCCACAUUCUUUCUCCCUCGGCUGCGGGAGGGCCUGGAUCCCAGGAGAGAGAAGAUGCAUGGGGCAGACCCAUAGCCACCUGCCGCCUACACGGAACACCAGCCAGAAAAAAACCUUGUGUUGAAAGAGAGAUCAGAGGCAUUGCUCAGUGAUUCCAAUCCUGAAUCGCUGAGCUUCUGGGGAUGUUUGUCAUGGCAGCAGAAUCCAGCAUAGCUGACUAACACAGACCAUGCCACUACCUUCUCCUGGAGACCCUCACUGACUUCAGGCUGACAAGCACAGGGGCCUCCUGCCUCCCCUUGGGCCAGUCCUGGCCUUGCAGGCACCGUCUAUACCCUGACUCUGCUACCCUGCACAUUAUCUUAUCUGCCUCCUUUUCUAUCGAAAUAUUUUAAGCAAGGGGAGAAACGAGGGUGGAGCAGCAACCAGAGGAGACCCUUGCCCAGGGGAUGCCUGCCCGGGGUCUGUCCUGGGCAGGGAGCAGCACAGCCCUGGUGGCUUGGGUAAUGUGGCAGCCCCCUCCCCAGGAGUCCCUGCACUGGCCACUCCAGGCACCAGGAUUCUUUUUGCCUUAAUGAAUUCCCCUCAAGUCUCCGGUUAGAAGUUUCCUGCUCCAAUCUUGAAUAUGCAUCUUUUAAAAUACUCUGCAAAUUUGAGGGCCUCUCAUGUAUCAUUUCAAUCCUCCAGCUAUUAGAGAAAUUGGGGUAUCAUAUAGAUUACGGAAAAAUUACUUUGGGCAGAGAAGGAGGUAGAAGAUCAAACGCUUAUCUGUACAAAUAAAUUCAGUGCGAUCCACAAUUAAGCAGCAUUUGACAUUUAAAAAAUAUUUGAUCCAUGUUUUGGCUUCCAGAGCUGCUUAAGGGAGCUGCGAUGUGUAAAUUACAUUCAAAUCAGGGUUAAAUAUAGUUCCCAGAGAAAGAUUGUAUGAUUUAAAUUGCCUAAUUAUUUGGGGGAAAAAUCUGUUCUCCAAUAAUUAAGAGAAUGAGGAUGUUCGACUUAUUGGGGAGAGAGAUCAGAAGUGGCUAUUCCCUUCUGGGAGACCAGGAGAUGCUGGCUUGGGGAGGGGAUGGUCACCCCUCUGGGGUGGGGGCAGGCGAUAGAGACCCAGCAGGCAGGCCCCAGGCAGGGGGAAGAGGCUGCCCUUAUCUGGCCCCAGGCAGCCUGCUGGGGUCUGUGGCCAGGCAGGACACCCAGUGCUCAGGAACCAACCAGAAACCAACUAGAAACUGGCAGUCUGGGUGCUGAGCCAGGGGCCCGCAGCCGCGCCAGGCAGGGAGUGGGCGCCAGCUCUCUCUGG
This 3799-nucleotide long non-coding RNA is filed under the name Homo sapiens (human). RNAcentral describes it as "HSALNT0379539". The record is from RNAcentral. Lineage: Eukaryota; Metazoa; Chordata; Mammalia; Primates; Hominidae.